Molecule: ribosomal RNA, 253 nt
Filed under: uncultured bacterium
Lineage: Bacteria
Description: partial 16S ribosomal RNA
Rfam family: Bacterial small subunit ribosomal RNA
Source: RNAcentral
UACGAGGGGGGCAAGCGUUGUUCGGAAUUAUUGGGCGUAAAGGGCGCGUAGGCGGUGCGGCAAGUCAGGUGUGAAACCUCCAGGCUCAACUUGGAGCUUGCAUCUGAAACUGCCGUGCUAGAGUGCGGGAGAGGAGAGUGGAAUUCCUGGUGUAGCGGUGAAAUGCGUAGAUAUCGGAAGGAACAUCAGUGGCGAAAGCGGCUUCCUGGUCCAGCACCGACGUUCAGGCACGAAAGCGUGGGGAGCAAACAGG